RNAcentral lists this ribosomal RNA (253 nucleotides) under uncultured bacterium. RNAcentral describes it as "partial 16S ribosomal RNA". It matches the Rfam family "Bacterial small subunit ribosomal RNA", at positions 524 to 776 of the family's 1533-position model. The record is from RNAcentral.
UACAGAGGUCUCAAGCGUUGUUCGGAUUCAUUGGGCGUAAAGGGCGCGUAGGCUGCGGGGCAAGUCGGGUGUGAAAUCUCAGAGCUCAACUCUGAAACUGCACUCGAUACUGCUUUGCUCGAGGACUGGAGAGGAGAUUGGAAUUCACGGUGUAGCAGUGAAAUGCGUAGAUAUCGUGAGGAGCACCGGUGGCGAAGGCGGCCACCUGGACGAUGACUGACGCUGAGGCGCGAGAGUGUGGGGAUCAAACAGG